ACGCUGGCGGCGUGCCUAAUACAUGCAAGUCGAACGGUCUUUCUAUGGAAGCUUGCUUCCACUGAGAAGAUAGUGGCGAACGGGUGAGUAACACGUGGGUAACCUGCCCAUAAGAGGGGGAUAACAUCCGGAAACGGGUGCUAAUACCGCAUAGUUUUUCUUGAUCGCAUGAUUGAGAAAGGAAAGACGGCCUUUGUGCUGUCGCUUAUGGAUGGACCCGCGGCGUAUUAGUUAGUUGGUGAGGUAAUGGCUCACCAAGACGAUGAUACGUAGCCGACCUGAGAGGGUGAUCGGCCACAUUGGGACUGAGACACGGCCCAAACUCCUACGGGGGGCAGCAGUAGGGAAUCUUCCGCAAUGGACGAAAGUCUGACGGAGCAACGCCGCGUGAGUGAAGAAGGUUUUUCCGGAUCGUAAAACUCUGUUGUCAGAGAAGAACAAGUUGGAGAGUAACUGCUCCAGCCUUGACGGUAUCUGACCAGAAAGCCACGGCUAACUACGUGCCAGCAGCAGC
Molecule: ribosomal RNA, 514 nt
Filed under: uncultured bacterium
Lineage: Bacteria
Description: bacterial SSU rRNA
Rfam family: Bacterial small subunit ribosomal RNA
Source: RNAcentral